GACGAACGCUGGCGGCGUGCCUAAUACAUGCAAGUCGAACGCUGAAGAGAGGAGCUUGCUCUUCUUGGAUGAGUUGCGAACGGGUGAGUAACGCGUAGGUAACCUGCCUGGUAGCGGGGGAUAACUAUUGGAAACGAUAGCUAAUACCGCAUAAAAUUGAUUAUUGCAUGAUAAUUAAUUGAAAGAUGCAAAUGCAUCACUACCAGAUGGACCUGCGUUGUAUUAGCUAGUUGGUGAGGUAACGGCUCACCAAGGCGACGAUACAUAGCCGACCGGAGAGGGGGGUCGGCCACACGGGGACGUGGACACGGCCCAGACGCCUGCGGGAGGCAGCAGUCGGGAAUCUGAGGCAAUAGUGGGAACCCUUACAGAACAACGCCGCGUGAGUUGAGGAGAUGUUCGGAUCGUAAAGCUCGGUUGUGAGAGAAGAACGGGUGUGGGAGUGGAAAGUGCACACUGUGACGGUAUCUUACCAGAAAGGGACGGCUAACUACGUG
This 497-nucleotide ribosomal RNA is filed under the name uncultured bacterium. RNAcentral describes it as "partial 16S ribosomal RNA". It matches the Rfam family "Bacterial small subunit ribosomal RNA", at positions 28 to 507 of the family's 1533-position model. The record is from RNAcentral.